CUGGAGGUCCGGGUUCGAUUCCCGAUGGGGACAUUGUCGAAAUCACUUUGUGAGACUGUCCUUUAUUUGGUAAGGACUUUUCAGGCUUGAAUCACCUGAUUGUCCGAAAAAGUAAGAUGAUUCCGUGCUUCGGAGGGCACGUUAAGCCGUUGGUCCCGGC
Pectinophora gossypiella (pink bollworm) is the source of this 160-nucleotide long non-coding RNA. RefSeq lists it as uncharacterized. The transcript is spliced from 2 exons. Lineage: Eukaryota; Metazoa; Arthropoda; Insecta; Lepidoptera; Gelechiidae. The record is from RefSeq and is a predicted model, not a curated record.